This 440-nucleotide ribosomal RNA is filed under the name uncultured bacterium. RNAcentral describes it as "partial 16S ribosomal RNA". It matches the Rfam family "Bacterial small subunit ribosomal RNA", at positions 338 to 795 of the family's 1533-position model. The record is from RNAcentral.
CCUACGGUUGGCAGCAGUGGGGAAUAUUGCACAAUGGGGGGAACCCUGAUGCAGCGACGCCGCGUGAGUGAAGAAGUAUUUCGGUAUGUAAAGCUCUAUCAGCAGGGAAGAAGAUGACGGUACCUGACUAAGAAGCCCUGGCUAACUACGUGCCAGCAGCCGCGGUAAUACGUAGGGGGCAAGCGUUAUCCGGAUUUACUGGGUGUAAAGGGAGCGUAGACGGCAGGGCAAGUCUGGAGUGAAAGCCCGGGGCCCAACCCCGGGACUGCUUUGGAAACUGCCAUGCUGGAGUGCAGGAGAGGUAAGCGGAAUUCCUAGUGUAGCGGUGAAAUGCGUAGAUAUUAGGAGGAACACCAGUGGCGAAGGCGGCUUACUGGACAGUAACUGACGUUGAGGCUCGAAAGCGUGGGGAGCAAACAGGAUUAGAUACCCUGGUAGUC